UGACUUUUUUUACUUUCAACUUUGAUCAUUUAUAGUUUUCAUUUUCUGCAAAUUUUUCGCUUUAUGCUUGGUUCUAAAUUUUGUGACUUAACACAUCGCAACAUGUUUCUUUGGCUCAACGUAUUUACGUUUCGUUCUAAAUUUUACGAGUUAACACGAUGCAACGUGCGUGUGUGGGUGAACGUUUUCCAUCGUCUAUUUUUUUCCCGUUUGACAGGUUUAACAUAACGUGCAGGUCCUAGAUCGACUUAGUUAUAACUAAAGAAUCCCCGCCGCAUUGCGGCGGGUCGCAAUCCUAGUAUGGAAUAAUGACUCAAUUUGAUUAAUCUGAACCCUCAAAACCCCCCUACCCCCUUUAAAAUCAAGGGUGUAUACCUGAACCCCCUCUUUCUCUCUCUGGACUUUUGGCUCCAUCAAAUUGAGAUUCGGGUUUUGAAUUUUGAAAAGGGUUUGAGCUCCACAAAUCUCAAAUCUGAGACAAGGCUCUCUCUUCCACCACCACUCCAUCCUCUUUCUACAGCAACGGUUCUUCUGCGUCAAGAAGUAGCAAUGGUGGCUAUGGUUCAAGUGGUGGUAGCAUGCGUUGCUUGGGUUCUAACAACAUUAAGUAUUCUGGCAACCACCAGUGAAAACGAGCGCCAUAAACAUAUUCCACUAGGUUUUCUACGAGAUUUCUGGUAUGUGUACAUUGUUAAUGGACAAAUCUGUUUUUUUUUUUUUUUUUUUUUUUUGCGUGUAUAUGUUUCUAUUAUGCAAUUAGUGAACAAACAGAUGGUGGUUGCAAUUUGCAACUACACAUUCUUUAACUCUUCAGUUUCUCUUCUACUCAGACCCCACCUCCUUACUCUUCACAAGCCCUAAAUCAUCUAUCAAAUUUUUGAAUCUACAAGUUAAUUUGAUGAUAUAGUGAAUGUUCAAGUUACAGAUGUUAUUGAAGAUCUAUCAAGGCCUAAUUUGAAGAGAGAAUCUGGAUGCAAAGAUAUUUGACUACCGUUGGUUCCUGAUAAAGCAAAGGGGCUAAAGCUAUGAAUUAAUCUGUUUUUGUACUUUAUUCUUUAUUGUGGUUGGGAGUAUGGAGUUUAGGGGUUGAGAUUACUAUUUGAAGCGCAGGUUUUGGCAAUCUGUUCCAAAAUUACUUCGAUUCUUAUCUUGGUACAUGUAACUAAGCUUGAGACACUUGUAUGUUAUUUGCUAAACUACUGAUGCUUGAUUGAUGUAUUUUAGAGAGUUUUUGAGUCAACAUUUGCUAGAAGAAAGUCUAUUCUAAAGGAAUGGUUCUCAAAGAAGUACAAGCAGCUAACACUCAAGUGAUUAAAUGCGGUUUGUUGCUCAGAUUGACAAUUAUUAUCAGCCUUCUUGAUUUUACUUUUGUAAACAUCAUAGUUUGGUUAUGAUAUUUGUUGUUUUUUUUUUCUACUAGCAGUAGACCCUAGACCACAUACCAUAAACGUCAUAGUGGUAGCAACCAGCUGGUACAUCAAUCUUUAUUCAAUCUACAUUUACACUUAUUAUCUAAUUAGAAAAUUAUAUAUAUUGAUAGUGUAAUACGUAGAAGACACUUUUAUCUUAUUGUAUGUCUCUUUUGCUAUAUAUUCAAGGUCACCUAAGACCUGCUAAUGCAUACAUAUUUAUAAAAGGAAACACCUCAAAUUGUCUUGGUUAACCUACUUGAUGAUUGUGUUGUGCGUGUAUGUGUGUAGAUGUAUGCAAUGUGUGUGCCAGUUACGUUUGGGUUUUUCAAAAUCACAUGUGAAGCAGUAACGAGCAGACUGUUACAUCUCUUCCACAUGUGGUAGAAAAUUCUUGCUGGAACCAUAAGGCGAGAGGCUUUUGUUACCAGAUCGUUUCUUCUCUCUGCAUGAUUCCUCCCGCCUUCUUCAACUUGUGAAGUUCUAUUUGAACAUGUGGUUGCUGGCCAGAUUGGUGUCAUAAGAUUACUGAGAUACUUUGGCAGAGCAAACUUUCGGCGACCUAGACUAGGGUUCCGGUGAGGUUCCAAUCAAAUUCCGCUGAGUCCUAUUUCUUAUGCAUAUCUCAUUUACUUUGAUGUGGGUGUUAUUUCGAAGGAAUUUGUUGUCAUCGUUUGAAACACAUGGAAUAUUGCUAAAGAGGACUCACAAUUAGAAGUAGAUGGUGAUAUGGUGAAGAUAUCAUAUUUUUACUAUUUUCUUUGUACCGAGACGAAAAUUCUAGCGUUUGAUUGUAAGAAAUAUAACACUCACGUCCUGACUCGGCAUGCUUCCCGCCCUACACUGCCCGUUUUGCCUGGUCUAA
Molecule: long non-coding RNA, 2274 nt
Organism: Helianthus annuus (common sunflower)
Lineage: Eukaryota; Viridiplantae; Streptophyta; Magnoliopsida; Asterales; Asteraceae
Exons: 2
Source: RefSeq, a predicted model, not a curated record